CCAUCUAAGGCUAAAUAUGACCACGAGACCGAUAGCGAACAAGUACCGUGAGGGAAAGUUGAAAAGCACUUUGAAGAGAGAGUUCAAGAGUACGUGAAACCGUUUAGGGGUAAACCUGAGAAGCCCGAAAGGUCGAAGGGAGAAAUUCAUUCGCGUUUCGUCGCUGGCGUAGGGCGGUCGUGUGACGGGGAGAGCGUUCGCGUUCUCUCCGCGCCUUCCGUCCGUCGAACCGGCGGCGUACGCGUGCACUUUUCUCCUGGUAGGACGUCGCGAUCCGUUGGGUGUCGGUCUACGGCUCGCGGUGGAGCCCGUUCGUCUCACGACGAGCGGACCCGCGUGUCCCGGCCGACUCGCUCGACGGUAUACGAAAGGUUUAAGGCCGCUCUUGGAGCGUUCGGCUCGCGGCAAGCGCGUCAGAUGCGUCGGCGAUCGGACCCGGUGCCGAUUCUGACCUCUGGCGACUGUUGGCUGCGAAGUUCUCGAACAGACCUUAAGACCGAUCUGCGACGCUAUAGCUUUGGGUACUUUCAGGACCCGUCUUGAAACACGGACCAAGGAGUCUAGCAUGUGCGCGAGUCAUUGGGAAUUAUUAAACCUAAAGGCGCAAUGAAAGUAAAGGUCUUCCUAGCGGAGACCGAGGGAAGACGGGCGGCUCACCCUUAAAAGUGGCCGCUCAGCACUCCCGGGGCGUCUCGUUCUCAUCGCG
RNAcentral lists this ribosomal RNA (706 nucleotides) under Rhopalomerus sp. NZAC 03037662. RNAcentral describes it as "partial large subunit ribosomal RNA". It matches the Rfam family "Eukaryotic large subunit ribosomal RNA", at positions 306 to 784 of the family's 3401-position model. The record is from RNAcentral. Lineage: Eukaryota; Metazoa; Arthropoda; Insecta; Coleoptera; Brachyceridae.